Neodiprion virginianus is the source of this 151-nucleotide long non-coding RNA. RefSeq lists it as uncharacterized. The transcript is spliced from 3 exons. The record is from RefSeq and is a predicted model, not a curated record. Lineage: Eukaryota; Metazoa; Arthropoda; Insecta; Hymenoptera; Diprionidae.
GCGUUAAGAAUACACCACAAUUUAUCCAAAUUUUUAAAUUGAUAUUUAAUACAGCAGAACAAUUAUUUUAUGCGGUGUACUGUCCAGACGCGGCGCGUCUAUGCCGUAACAGUUGCGCAGAGCCCUAUGUUCAGCAGAGCACACGUUUGAA